AUUAAUAAUACGUAAUUAUCUAAUUAAUUAAAUCACUAAUUAAUUAACUUAACUAAUUAUUUAUUACUAUUAUUAUUUUAAAAUUCCCUUUUGAUUUUUUCUACUCUUUUUCUAAAACAUUUUUAGGGGGUGGCCCUACCUGUAAGUGGCAUCGACCACACCACAACUCACACACAUACAUAUCCUGCACCCAAAAUCACCAUACACGCUCAUACACUUUUAUACACACAUCCACACAUAGAC
RNAcentral lists this long non-coding RNA (243 nucleotides) under Hordeum vulgare. Its description in RNAcentral is "long non-coding RNA (HVUL_LNC004411)". Lineage: Eukaryota; Viridiplantae; Streptophyta; Magnoliopsida; Poales; Poaceae. The record is from RNAcentral.